AUCUCCUCCUCCUCGCCCAGAUGGCCAGAUCCACUUCUCCCCGAGCAUCAUGGCCACCCCACCGGCCAACUUGCCGCUGUCCAUCUACACGACGCUCGUGCUGGUGGCCACUGGAGCACACAGCAAAACCCUGGAAGAGCCCAUGGCCCUCCUUGGCGCCUCGUCCCCCAUCGAGGUCACGGGGUUCGUGAGCGGCCCCGCCCCCGCCCCAUCCUGCUUACCCGCACACUGACGCAGUCCUACUUGGCGGAGAUACGUACAGAUGGUGCUUCUAAUAUACAAUACAACUGUUUUUCAUCACAUGAUAAUUUGCUUCCACAGUUUUUCUUUUGAAACGGAGCUUAAAUUGGACAUAGCAGGCAAGUAAUACUCAUGUUCGUCCAUCCUCGUCCGUUGAUGCUGUUGUGGCUACAACAUACACUUUGCCUCCCUCAUCGCCGACCGCUGCUGCGUCGUGGCCACCGCCAUGAUCCUAUUCGGCGCCCAACGACAUGUCCAUGCUCGACCGAGAGCGCGUUUCAGCACGCCCCAUCGACGAUCAUGAAGCAAAGUUUGUUGCACAAUGUCAUAAGCAAUAAAGGAGUGGUGACCUUCGCUUCACCAAGGGGUUCUCUACGGCCAUCGAGGGCCAGCGUGUAGAUGGAGACGACAACAAGGAGGUGGCUGCUAGUGAACUUUUCCCUUAAAUUCAUGAAAUUUUCUCUCAAAUACGCGGACUUGGCACCUCUUGUCGUCCAGAACGUGAAUCCACGACGCCUUGCUUCCUGAUCGGUCCAGGAAGCUUUGAUGGACAACCGAUGGGUGGCUGACAUUGCUGGCGGCCUGUCCACCUUAGGUCCGGUCCAAUAUGUUCAUCUUUGGGACGCCGUCAUGCCCGAGAACCUAAUCCCCGAUGAGCCAGGUCAGCCUCUCUGGCCUUGGAAUGCAGAGGGUUCCUACUCUGCUUUCUCCACCUAUCGCAUGUUGUGGGAGGGUGUCGUCUGCUCACCCUGUGCUAAGCAUCUCUCGAACAGCUGGGCUGCUCUGAGUUGCUAAAUUUUCAUCUGGCCAGCUCUCAAAUAUCGCAUUUGGACAUCGGAUCGGCUAGCAAGACGGGCCUGCAGGACGUGGUGGACGUCUGCUACUUCUGUGACCAAGCUGAAAAUACAACCGACCACAUCUUGAUGGGAUAUGCUUGUCAGGUUUGGCACUGCUGCCUUACUCUGGAUAUUACACUGGAGAAUUGGUGGCUGCCUUUGCGCGAUAGAGAACCAAUCAAUAGGAGGAAGAGAUUUGACUCUCUUGUCAUGCUGAUCUGCUGGAGUCUCUGGAAGCAAUGCAAUGCACGCGUCUUUGGCAACAGGACAUUACAGAAGAACGUAUCCUCGCUCCCUGUGUUGAUCAUUUAGGAGCUGAAGUUGUGGAAACUUGCUGGUUGUAAAGGAGUUGACGACAUGCGUGAGUAGUUCUUCUGGCUAGUGUAGGAGUGGAGUUUCUGUGAUAGUACC
Long non-coding RNA from Triticum aestivum (bread wheat), 1487 nucleotides. RefSeq lists it as uncharacterized. Lineage: Eukaryota; Viridiplantae; Streptophyta; Magnoliopsida; Poales; Poaceae. The transcript has 3 exons. The record is from RefSeq and is a predicted model, not a curated record.